GGGGCGAGGGGGAGGGGACAUCUCCGCGGCCUGUCACUUGGCCGCAGCCUUACCGCCGGCCCGCAGCCCCUGGCUCUGACUUGCGCUUCCGUGUCCUGAGACCCUCUUCCCGCACCCCACCUUCCGCUGCGCGCGAGCCUCUUCCGGCUUCCACACCGCUCCGGGCCUGUUUCCGCUCCUGAGAUACCUAUAUGAAGAUCCAAAGUAUAAAGAAGAAAAAGAAAUGACAGUACUGUUCUUCCCUCAGCACCAAUGAUCUUCCGCUUUUCUGAUUUUUCAUAUUUAGUAACACCAAGGAGUCAUAGUGAGAUGCAUUAAUAACGCUGGCAGGUUUAUAUAGUAGUCUCUGAAGGCAGAAAAUAAAAGGGGUAUAGCAAGCAUUUUUAAGUCAGGCCAGGGAAAACGUUUCAAAUUUUUAUCUGAAAUAUUUAGACAGUGCUUUCUAAUGUACUCCUAACUAUAGCAAAUAUUAAUUUCCAUUCACAAAACCCAUGAAACCCAUGAUUUGAUCUGCUUCUGGGGAGGGUGACAGGAUUGGCUUGAGUUUACUUUGGCAUCUUUGGCUUGCCAGCAAAUUGUGGGAGCUUGGCUUCAUUUUAAUGGUGUGUAUGCCUUUAUAUACACACACUUUUGACUGUGUACCAAGUCUCAUAACUGCUGUACAAACAGUAUGUGUGGAGUCCAAGGGAAUUCAGCGGUGCUGGGUAAGUCAUAAGCCUGGAGACAGAGCAGUUGGGCCCAGUACUUAAUUAUUUAAAGUCCAGAAAAUAAGGCUCUGAUCUUCAGACCUCCAGCAUACAGUAUUAUAAACACACAUAGCUCACAACAUGUAUUUUUUAUAAGUGAAAUAGAAAUGAAUUAUGUGGUGAUUCAUGCAAUCAUGAAUACCGUGAAAUCUCUAAGAUGAGAAAAAUAUUCUAUACUAAUACUAGUAUUUGAAAUUCAAUGUACUUGACCCCAGAAGCUGAAUUCUUCAUAUAUACUGCAAAUGUCUUCUGCCUGCUUAAAUAGGUUAAAACUUUUUUGUAUGAGUAUUUUGCUUACAUUUAGCUCAAUAUGUGCAGCAUGAAAGUGCAGGAUAUCUGCAGAGGUCAGGAGAGGGCGUCAAAUUGCCUGGAACAGGAGUGACAGGAAGUGGUGAGCUUCAGCGUGAAUGCUAGGAUCUGAAGCUGGUCCUUAACAAGAACAGAUGUGUUCUUCACCACAGCCCCAUCUUCGGCCUCUUCAACAGGUUUAACCCUUAUGCUUUCUUGUUCAGCUCAUGUUUAGAUAGCUUAUGUUGGCAAGACUUUAUGGGUGUAGCUUCGGCCAUUGCUAGGAGAUAUAAUAUCACAAUAAACUCAUGGAUCCUCUGGCUCUAAUGGUCUUUCUGUUCCCUCUUCUGCAAUGUUCCCUGUGCCUGAGGUACAGGAAUUGUAUUGUAGAUGUAUCCAUUGACUGAGCUCCACAAGUCAAUGAUUGGGUCACCAGGUUGUUGCAGGAAAUACUAAAAAGAUCAUCAAGUUCCCAUGCUAUGCCAGGCACUGGUGGGCCACGUGGCUCCAGCCAAGUGUUCUCAUCUUGGCAGACUCUCUGGCCCAGAGCUCCCGAAAUGUCUCUGCCCAACUAGAGACCCUUGCCGGGUCUCUGCCAUGACAGACACAUUCAAUAACUUCCCACCUCAAGGUUAGUUGUCACAAUUCCCAGUAAUGCAGUAAAAUCAAAAUUCUAGAAGCUUAUAAUUAACCAGUCAUAUUUAUAUACCAAUAAAUUCUCAAUUCACAAGAUGCUCACAUAAUUUCAGAGCCAAUUGAUAAUGAUACAAGCUGCCCACCUAGAUUAGACCAGUUAUCCCAAGUAUUCUAUCCUCUAUGAUAUUUAUAGCUGCCUUGGCUAUUUUAAAGCCAUGUGGAAUCUGUAUCAUCUUCCUCUUAUUCCAUCUUUCCUCCUUUCUCUUUCUCCUAUAUCUCCCUCUCUGCAACUCAUCACACUGCCCACCCUUUCCCUAUCCAAUAACAGGCUUCUUCUUGUAUUAAUAAUCAAACUAAUUAGGGGAAAUCCUGUUACAUAUCACUCUGUCCAAAUUAAAAAAAAAAAAACCCUUUGCUCUCAAGUAUAAAUUGAGCACAACAUUACCAUUUUUUUAAUUUAUAAGGUACAAGAUAGACCGAAUACCCAAUCUAUCAUUUUUGUCAAUAAAAAUAGAACACUCUGUCAUCUGUCCUAACUUAAAAGACUUAUAAUUCUAUACAUGACUUAUGUCCUGGCUUAGAUUGUAUGCCAUCAGAAAACCAUCCUCUCAAAUCUGUUCAAUAUUAAAUAGCCUGGGUUGGCUAUGAAAUUAUAAGUAGUCUAUCAACUCGAUCAGAAAUCUGAGAAUGACCAACAUAUCUGAAGAUAAAGGAAGCCUAACACAGCUUCCAGAACUGAGAAAAGUUGUAGAGACAGCUGCCUACCCAUAUAGCCCCAGUAAGUCAGGAAGUUUGAGCAUCAGUCUUCAGCCUUCUGGCCCGGGAUCAUCUGACAGACCUUUGAAAAACAGGAAUUGUUAAGGACUAGCCUAGUCUGUCUCAGCAGAACUAAGCUGUCCUAACCUCUAACUUGUGUCCUCUCAAGAAAGGUAUAUGUCUGCAGGAGAGAUAGGCAAUUUCUGUCCAGUGACUACCUAGCCAAAAUAUAUCACCUCACCUGGAGGUAUAGAUGCUCAGCUGCUUAUUUAAAUCCACAAAUGGGAAGCUGUUAGGAACAGAUUUGUCUCAACAACAAGUGAAUAAAUAACAUUAAAUGUCACAUUCUGUGGAUUUUUGAAGUUUUUUUGAAAACCAACUAUCUAUGUAAUCUUGACUGUUGUCCAUCAAUUACCCUUUAAUUAGCUAUUUCUAAUUAAAACCUCUGAAAACACCCUAGCAAUAAACUCAGAGCCAUGAAUUCAUUAUUUGUCCCUUAACUCAUAGGCUUACACAUCUCAGAUCAGUUUAUAAUGGCAUUUAUAGAAGGACUGGUUCCAAGCUUUGUACUUACAAAAUUUUGUAUCAACACAAGAAGUUUAUACCAAUGAAACUUUCAUUCUGUAUUAAAAUAAAUUCUAUACCAAAAUAAGAAAUUAUGACUUCAACUUAGUAACAAUUAUAAAGAUUUCUACCAAGUGAGAUCAUGGCUAUACAAUCAAUUCUAGCUAUUUCCUCCCUGUUCCAAUUAUGACAAUUUCUAAAUUCCCCAGAAAGACAACUAAGAUAACCACCUCCAGCCCGAAAGCCCAGGGAAAUGGGACAACAACUCUUCAUAACUUCUUGAAGCGCAAUAUGGGUGUUGAGAUAUUUUUGAAGGAGGGAAAGGUAGAGAAAAUGAGGGAGUUGGUUGGUCUUAAGAAGGCCAUACCAAUGAUUGUAUUAGUGUCUGAUGUCUGUGUCCUGACUGGAUCUGGAUGAAAAACCAAGACAUCAGGAGUUCAAGCAGAUCAGUUCAGCAUGUCUGACUGUGAGACUCACCAAGGCUGUAUAUUCUGUAAUAUACAAAUCUCAAAACAAAAUUCUAGUAUCAUCAAGAUGACUUUUUUGUUUGAUUCUCUGGAAUCUAGUUCUCUGGGGGUCUCCCUCUGUCAAAUCUGAUCUAUAUUACUCUGGAAGGUGGAUAGACACUAAUCACCUUUUCUAAAAACGCAAAGACAAAACCUUUCUCCCAAACGAGCAUAACUUUGAGCCAGUAACCAGAAAAACCUUUAUAUUGACCUUUCUCCCAGAGGAAUAAUAUAGCCACAAAACUCAAAAUCACACCCAUUUUGAAAAUUAAAACAAUACAAAACAAAUGAAGUAAACUAAAAUACUGUAUAAGACUAUUCUUAGACCUUUUCUAUUUUGCCAUGUAGGAUAAUAACCCAAGAUUCUCAUGGAGCCCACGUUAGACAGAUUUUGAGUAUCCCGUAAGGCAUAUUAGAGCAAUAUAUCUCUAUACCAUCUUUCUUUCAGCUCUCUGCCUAGAGCAGCCAUCUUGUUAUACCAUCUAUCUGUUUGCCUAUCUGCCUGGAGCCACAGACAUUAUUAAUGAAUACCUGUUUAUAAUUAUUACUGUCCUCUCUACUUGGAGUCAGUGACUAAUUUUCCCUCUCCUAGUACUGAACCCAAGCAAAAAUCCACAUGUGAUUUGGAAAAAUCUGUAUGUUAAUCUUUCCUAAAAGAAAAUAAUCCCAAUUUUAUAAAUUCACAGUUCAAUCAACCUCUGCCCUAAGAAGUAGGCAACUUCCAUCCUCCUUCUGACUCAGAGCAGCUUGCAGUCCCCACAGCAGGGGACCUCAGAACCUGCUUUCUUUGUUUCAGUUCCUAUGCUUGAGUCCAAGUGACUUGAUACCCAGCUACUCACUUAAAAUAAAAUAAAAUAAAACUCUCAGGAUAAUAAUAUUACAUUUCUAGUGGAUUCUUGCCCAACACGUUGGUUCACCACCUGCUUCAAAAAAUAUUUUAAAAAAAGAGUAUGGCAUUUUCCCAUGCUACUAACCCUUUCAUAUCCAGGGGAUGAUACAUAUAAGAACAUGAGUCAACCAUAUUUGUUUAUACAUUGGAGCAAAUUAAACCUUCAAACGGUCUCUACAUUGUAUAGAGCAUUUCCAAUAAAAAAAUCUUUUUAGAAAAAGUGAGAUCUCUUCCUUUCUACAAUCAUAUCACAGUCCAUACAUUGAAAUGUUAUUUUUGAAUGGCCAGAAAUCUUCAUUGAAGGAGUGCUGUAUUAAAACACACACACACACACACACACACACACACACACACACACACACACACACACAAAACAAUGAAAUAAAAUAAAUUCCUCAUCAAAUGCCAUAAUCUGAACUGUUUCUCAAAGAGAAGUGCUUGACAUCUGUUCCCCAGAUUGUGGUGUUAUUGGGUGGUAGUGUAUUUGUUAAUUGGUGAGGCCACUGGGGGCCUUAAAUCAUAGUGUGUUCUCUCAGAGAGAAUUAUGGGAAUCUUAUGUCUCUGAUUACUUCCAACCAUCAGGAGGUGAGCAGCUUGCUCCAUUCAUGUACACUGCCCUACAAAACUAGUCUUUGUUCCAGAAGGAAUAGAGCUAACUGGUCCUGGACUAUAGUCUCCAGAAACAUGUACCAGAAUAAACUUGCGUUGCUAUAGGUUGAGUUAUUUCAAAUUUCAUCACAAGAGUCAAAAUCUCACUGAUGUCAGUGAGAAGGGCUCUAAUUUCACGGGUACAUUACAUCUUGACAGACAUAUUAGCUCGAUAAUCAAUAAACAAAGGUAUUUCCCUUUCCUGUCGUCAUUAUUCAUAUUUUAGAUAUGCUUCUUUUGACAAUGUUGGAAGCUGGGUUUCAGGAAAGAAGAGACUUUCGAUGGGGAAGAAGCUGUAUUUGUAAGGAAAACAUGGCUGUGCCAUCUUAACACCAGCCAACAAGUGUUUAUGAGGUAAAUUUAGUAACACAGAAUACAUCAAGACAAACCAGCACUUUCACCUCUACUGAAAAUUAAAUAAAAUACCUUCCUCAGCUAUUACUCAGAAGUGUCAUUCUGAAGUUUACGGAGCAUUGUUAAUCUAGUGCUGGGGCAUAAUUAUGGUUUGGGCUGAGAGUUGACCUCCCUCAUCACUGCACUGCCUGCCCCCUGUCUGUAUUCCCUCCCCGUGCCUGGUUUGUGAUAGUUCAGAUACUUGUAAAUGAGCUUCCAUCCCAAGAAGGCUCAUUUCCCAUAAUGAAAUAAGGUGCCACAUCUACCCACUAAUGACACUUACAGAACGAUGUUUCGCUUGAUAUGUGCUCAGAAAUGAACUCUCAGGCUUGCUUGCAUACAUUACAUCAACUGUAACUUUAGAACUUCAUUUGAAUUGCCUAAUAUGUAUGUGGUGCUGGAAGCUAAAUCCUGAAAUUUGCCCAUUUCAAAUGAGAACUAUACUGACUGAACCAAACCUCAUACCUAGGUAUUUUAAUUUAUGAUCUAAAUCUGUACUGCUUUGAAAUUGUCUUUUACUACAUUAUUAAAUUUCAUAAACUACACUACAAAUCUGGAUAUCUUAGACCUUUAAUAAGUAUUUUUUUGAUCUAGUUUUGAUCUUGAAAUACCCUGCCCCUGCAAUGGUCAAUGUGUUUCAAGCUUGGUCUGAAGGAUGUCACUGCUGCGAGAUGGUAGACCCUUUAUGAAAUGAGCUCAGUCACUGAGAGGCUCUUAGGCCACUGAAAGCAUUCUUUUAAGGAGAUGGUAACACCCUGGUCAUUUUCUCCUUGUUUAAUUCUUAAUCAUGAGAUGAAGAUACAGGAAAGUCUAGCUCACUAUGGGUGAUAUCACCCCUGUGUUGAUGGUCCUUAAUUCUAUAAGAAAGCAAGCUGAGCAAGCCAUAAGGAGCAAGCCAGUAAGCAGCACCCCUCCAUGACCCCCACAUCAGCUCCUGAUUUCAAGUUCCAAUUCUUCUUGAGUUACUGCCCUGACUUCCUGUGCUGAUUUUUUUUUUCUUGGUAGAAUUGUAAGGAAAUAAAACCUUUCCUCCCCAUGUGGCCUGUGGCCAUGAUGUUCUAUCACAGCAAUAGAAACCCUAACUCAGACAGUACCCUGAAAAGACAGAACCGAUCAUAAUUCCAUCAGGAAGCCACUGAAGAGUGAAACUGCAAGUGUCAGAGUCAACUUUGUAUCCCCGGGUGGAUGUUGGCUUCUGAAACAAGCAAUUCAAGGCCCAACUAAACUGAUCAUCAUUUUUGAUGUAACUAAAUUCAAGACUACCAUCUUAAUUAGACUUUAUAAUACAUGCUCUGUCUACUGCAUGAAAGUACCUGAAACUCUCUAAGCAUUGAACAAAACACACUAUAAAAGUGAUAGAGAAAAGGAAGAGUGAAGAUGAGACAAAGGCAGAUUUCCAUUUUGUGACAUGCUAUUCGUUACCUCAAAGCAAAGAGCAUAGUACUUGGAAAAUAGCAGCAAUUGCUUCCUUGUGCUGCAUUUAGACACCAACACUCAGAAAAAUAGUAAUGGUACCAUGUUUCUGUCAUCUACUUACCAUUUCAUGGAACAUAUCAUGCAAGCUACGAGCCAGCUCUAAAGAAUUUAAAAUGUAAGCUUUAGUAUUGCUCUUAAUGUAUCUGUGAAAAAAAAUUGUAAGUAGGCAGGUAAAAGAUACAUGCAACAAUUGUAUAUAUAGCUAGUUAGGCCUAGCAGUCAAAUCCAGGAUUAGUCAACUCUAAGUUUCAAAGCCAUUUAAUAAUGCCAUUAAGUAAUUUGUCAAAAUAGUAUCUCAUAUUCUUUGUAUAAGGAAUAUCUGAGAGACAGAUAAAGGCUACUAUAUUGUAUCUCUUUUCAAAAUGUAUAGUACAGAAGCUAGAGACAUUACCCAGUGGUUAAGAGCAUCUAUUACCCUUGUAGAGGCCUUGUACACGGGCCCACAGCCAUCAGUAUCUCCAGUUUGAGAUACCCACUCUUUUCUUCUGACUUCCACAGGCAUCAGCAUGCACAUGGUGCAUAUACAUACCUGCAGGCAGAGCAGUCACACACAGAAUAAAAUAAAUAAAUCUAAAAGUAUUUAUAUGGAUAGAUUUAAAAUUAUUUGAUUACAGCAGAAUGAAAUUUAACAGAGCCCAGAUAGACAGUUUUAGUGAACAUGAGCAGCACAGCUGGAAAGAGAAUGGAGACAGGAGGAGUUCUCUGAGUUGGAGUUUGAACAGUGCUCAGCAUGUGUAUUCUUUUUUUUCCUAUUUAUUUAUUUAUUUAUUUAUUUAUUUAUUUAGGUAUUUUCCUCGUUUACAUUUUCUUUUUUUCCCCAUUUUUAUUAGGUAUUUAGCUCAUUUACAUUUCCAAUGCUAUACCAAAAGUCCCCCAUACCCACCCACCCCCACUCCCCUACCCACCCACUCCCCCUUUUUGGCCCUGGGGUUUCCCUGUACUGGGGCAUAUAAAGUUUGCGUGUCCAAUGGGCCUCUCUUUGCAGUGAUGGCCGACUAGGAGAAACUGUCUUCUGUAGGCAUUCAGGAGUAGGGUCUCUCUUCUGCAGUGGGUAAAGCUUGAUUAUAGGACUUCGAAGUCUAUCCUCACAGUGAUAAACUUCCUCCAACAAGGCCACACCUCUUAAUAGUGCCACUUCCCAUGGACCAAGCAUCUUCAUAUUUCUUCAGCAGGUAAGCAUCUUACAACUGAGCUACAUCUCCAGCCACAAUUUAUCAUUCUUAUAUUAGUGUUGUUUCAGGGAGUUUACCAGAGAUGACCAUUCAAACACAGUUUAUAGCCAAUCGAUAAUCUUUGUUCCAGUCAUCUGAGACCAUACCCAAGUGUUUGGAAACCUGAUGUAGAACACAGUGUUUUUAAAGGUAGAAACCAUGUCCUGGCAUCUUGCUCAUCAACUAGAGGGAGCUUUGUAGAAGCAAGCAGUUUAAUAGAAGCAGUUAGCUGGAGGAAGAAGUUUGCACAAAAAAAAAAAAAAAAAAAAAAAAAAAGACCAAAAAAAACAAAAAAAACAAAAAAAAAAACCCAACAACAACAACAAAAAAAAAACAAGACAAAACAAAACACUUUAAAGAAGCUAAUUUAUAUUAGGUAGGACGUCCUGACCUUGUGUUCUGAAUGGGGUUUGGUUGUUUUCCAUGGGAUUCUCUGUCAAGGAAUUUAAAUUCUAAAUAGAUAAAUCUUAAAUGACCUCAGCAAUGAUUCAAGAUGGAGGAACCUUUGCCUUGUUGUGGGAAGCCAACUCCAAGACGGUGCCCGGGCGCCGUUUUCCAGUUGCUGUUGUCAUAAACAACACCACUGUGCAGGCGUCAAUUCUAAUUUGGCACCAACCCCUCCCGAGUGGGUGCAUGCAAAUUGGGUGCCGGCAGACUGACCAAUCCCAGGGGGCCACGGAACCUUUUCCUGUGCUGGGGUGCAUAUAAGCAGGGCUCCCUGGGCACCCAGGGUCCCCGUAGAAGCAUAGACGCGUUCCUGCAAUAAAGGCUGUUGAGAAGAAUCCGACUGUGUCAUGUCGUUCUUGCUUGUCGAGAGCAGACACGACAUAAUGUGGCCCGUACGGGGACACGAGGAUCUCGUGGAUUCAGAACUCUUCAGCCAGGGAAUGGCGGUACCAGUAAGUCUCCCAAAUUGAUCCCUGGGUUUAAGGGAAAUAUGUUUUUCUCGCCCAUAGACCCAGUGUGGGUAGCUCUUAUCCUUGUUUCGUUUUCUGUAAUUUGUGGCCUCUGCUUUUGUUUGACAGAAACAGUUAAGACAGGUCAGAAAAUUCUUACAGAACAACAAGAACACAUGUCAGAAGAGGACAAAGAGCGUAUGAGCAAGAGAAAGAAAAAGGGUGAGAAAGAAAAAGGAAAAGAAAAGGGAGGAAAAAUAAAAGGAAUCGGUGAUAAAGAAAAGGAAAUAGUGAAGAGAUAUCUCUCUUUAAAGGAUUUAAGUUUAUCAAGCUCUGCUUCCAGUGACUCGGAGCUUAACAAAGAUGAUGAAGCUGACCUAGAGGAAGAGUCAGCUCGGUAUGAGAGGGAAAGGUAUGACCUGGAUUGGUCAUAUAGAACCAAGCCAAUGAAAAGGGGAGCAUUGGCUAAUAAAAGAACAAAACCAAAAGUGCCGACAGCUUCACCUUACAACCCUGAUUACACAGGAGAAAAGAAGUCCGCUAGGGCUGUUAGACCAGGUACCUCCUUCUGCCCAGAGGUGUGGAAAGAAAUAGGAUUAACCUUUCCGGUUUUUGUUAAUGGACAAGGGCAGCAGUAUCACGAGCCAGUGGAUUUUAAAACUAUUAAGCAACUGGCUGAGUCAGUCCGUACCUACGGGGUGAGUGCAGCCUUUGUAGUUGCACAGGUCGAGGCACUUGCUAGAUAUUGCCUCACCCCGGGGGACUGGAACAAUAUAGCUCGGGCGUGCCUAUUUAGAUUAGUCAGUAUUUAGAUUGGAGGUCUUUGUCAUAUGAACAUUCAAACAGUCAGGCAGCAGCAAAUUUAGCCACAGGACAAGAUCCCCAGAGACAUUGAGAUGCAGAUAUGCUCCUGGGUCUGGGGCGCUUUGCUUUAGAUCAGACAAAUUAUCCUAAAAGAACAGGUUGAAGAAUUGUAUAAAGUUGUCCAAAUGUCCUGUGUCUCAUCUCUUAAAGGUUUUUGUUACUCCUCUACAAGCUAAUUUCUCUCAGUCUCUUGAACAGAGUCGCCUCUUAUCUGACUACCUUAAAAGAAAUUGGUCGGCUAAGCGGAGCAGUUGUCCAGAAAGCUGCUCCUCCAGAUUGCCAAACUCAACAGCACUUGACUGGACCCCGUCACCUUGGGGGACUUCACCUCCUGGAUCACCAUUGCCUUCUCAUUUUUUAUUUUUUAAGGAAUGGGCGAGAAUGUUGGCCUGGGGGGGGCAGUGGUCCUCCUGGGUUGUGUCUUCUCAUCUGGCUAUUGUGUCAGCUAAAAAGAGAGCAUGCACAACAUAAAGCAGUGGUGUACCAAGCUCUGUUGGCAAUUGAAGAUGGCGCAUCUCCCAAUAUUUGGCUGGCCUCUUUGAAAAACUAAGAGUUCGCCCUAAGUCAUUUGGCAAUUGUAGUCACGGUAUCCAGAGAUGGGCAACUUUCCUUGUGCACAAACCAACCUAAGACACGGGGCAUGGAGGCGAUAGGGCAACCCUAUGAUGGGUAAGGCUGUGACACUAGAAGAUUGACCUAAAACAGGAGCCGUAGCCAAUGGACAGAUUUGCCGAGACCUAGUCCAGCAUCAUUAAACAAAAAAGGGGGAGAUGAGGGAAGCCAACUCCAAGAUGGCGCCGGUUUCUGGUUGCCGUUGUCAUAAACAACACCACUGUGCAGGCGUCAGUUCGAAUUUGGCACCAACCCCUCCCGAGCGGGUGCAUGCAAAUUGGGUGCCGGCAGACUGACCAAUCCUCGGGAGCCACGGAGCCUUCUCCUGUGCUGGGGUGCAUAUAAGCAGGGCUCCCUGGGUGCCCUGGGUCCCCGUAGAAGCAUCGAGGCAUUCCUGCAAUAAAGGCUGUUGAGAAGAAUUCGACUGUGUCGCGUCGAUCUUGCUUUUUGAGAGCAGACUCCACACCUUGUCUUACUUUGUCACAGUGUGAAGAUCUCUCAAUAGAAGAAUCUAAUUUGCUUUUGUAUUUUCACAUUUUAAGCAUUUCUUACAUAAUAGUUACUAAAAGUAUCCAGAAUAAAUGGCAAAUAGUUA
Long non-coding RNA from Mus musculus (house mouse), 11080 nucleotides. RefSeq annotates it as predicted gene, 46218. The record is from RefSeq and is a predicted model, not a curated record. Lineage: Eukaryota; Metazoa; Chordata; Mammalia; Rodentia; Muridae. The transcript has 2 exons.